RNAcentral lists this ribosomal RNA (465 nucleotides) under uncultured beta proteobacterium. RNAcentral's name for it is "bacterial SSU rRNA". It matches the Rfam family "Bacterial small subunit ribosomal RNA", at positions 198 to 644 of the family's 1533-position model. The record is from RNAcentral. Lineage: Bacteria; Pseudomonadati; Pseudomonadota; Betaproteobacteria.
GGAGGAAAGCAGGGGAUCGCAAGACCUUGCGCUUUUGGAGCGGCCGAUGUCUGAUUAGCUAGUUGGUGAGGUAAAGGCUUACCAAGGCGUCGAUCAGUAGCUGGUCUGAGAGGACGACCAGCCACACUGGGACUGAGACACGGCCCAGACUCCUACGGGAGGCAGCAGUGGGGAAUUUUGGACAAUGGGGGAAACCCUGAUCCAGCCAUGCCGCGUGAGUGAAGAAGGCCUUCGGGUUGUAAAGCUCUUUCAGCCGGAACGAAACGGUCACAGCUAAUACCUGUGAUCACUGACGGUACCGGAAGAAGAAGCACCGGCUAACUACGUGCCAGCAGCCGCGGUAAUACGUAGGGUGCAAGCGUUAAUCGGAAUUACUGGGCGUAAAGCGUGCGCAGGCGGUUUUGUAAGUCAGAUGUGAAAUCCCCGGGCUUAACCUGGGAACUGCGUUUGAAACUACAAAGCUAG